This 506-nucleotide ribosomal RNA is filed under the name uncultured bacterium. RNAcentral's name for it is "partial 16S ribosomal RNA". It matches the Rfam family "Bacterial small subunit ribosomal RNA", at positions 30 to 523 of the family's 1533-position model. The record is from RNAcentral.
AUUGAACGCUGGCGGCAGGCCUAACACAUGCAAGUCGAACGGUAACAGGAAACAGCUUGCUGUUUCGCUGACGAGUGGCGGACGGGUGAGUAAUGUCUGGGAAACUGCCUGAUGGAGGGGGAUAACUACUGGAAACGGUAGCUAAUACCGCAUAACGUCGCAAGACCAAAGAGGGGGACCUUCGGGCCUCUUGCCAUCGGAUGUGCCCAGAUGGGAUUAGCUAGUAGGUGGGGUAACGGCUCACCUAGGCGACGAUCCCUAGCUGGUCUGAGAGGAUGCACAGCCACACUGGAACUGAGACACGGUCCAGACUCCUACGGGAGGCAGCAGUGGGGAAUAUUGCACAGUGGGCGCAAGCCUGAUGCAGCCAUGCCGCGUGUAUGAAGAAGGCCUUCGGGUUGUAAAGUACUUUCAGCGGGGAGGAAGGGAGUAAAGUUAAUACCUUUGCUCAUUGACGUUACCCGCAGAAGAAGCACCGGCUAACUCCGUGCCAGCCGCCGCCGUAA